AAGGCCCCUCAUUUUGGUGCGUGAAAGACCCUGAUAUUUAUCUGUUUAUUUAUUGGAACCACUUAACUUGAUGUCACUGAGUAAUAUGAAUACUUUCAGAAAGUUGUUAAAAACACUGCCUUUUCUGAAAUCCUAAACGUUAUUCUCCAACUAAGCUAGGGAGAUGAGCAUUAGUAUCUCUGCUUUGAUUUUCCAUGCUGCUAUAUCAGAUUGGCUACACCUGUACUGGGCUUCUGAAGCCUUAUGAGGUGUGACGUGGGGUAUUCUGCUUCCCCUGGGCAGGGCACAACAACAAAGCCAAAUCUGUGAGGAGACAAUUGCUGGUGAUACCUCUGUGACUCAACAAAAUCCCAGAUCAGUGAGCAGAAGCUGAGGGAUGCCUGAAACAUGGAUUUCCAUUUGAAGCGUUGAUUCCUGGACCAUUGACUUUUGUGGGGGUACUGAUUGUGGAACCUGAGGAGAGCUUUGAGUAAUACCAGCAUAAACUGAAAAUGAAUAAAGGGAAUAAGAAGAAUUCCCAUUCUUCAAGUGAAAAUAUUAAUACUACAAUAGGAAGAAAGAAGCCUUUUUUCUUAGUCUUCAUAAAGCAAGUGCACAUUUGGAAAGUUCUGCAGUUUGUGGAACGCUUGCUCUUUCAGCAUUGAUGAUACUGAAGAAAUAACAAGGCUCUGCAGUGUAGAAAGUUGUGUCAAUAGGCUGAAUGAUACUAUUGUGCUUACGGCAGUGAGAAGAGAAUCCCUUGAUGAAAUCUAUAGAGCUACUAUACAGAAAGAUUGGACACUUGCUGUACCAUGGUUGGCACUGUGAUUUUAUUUUUUUUUCCUCCAGUUCUUACUGGCAGUUACAGAUUAGGAAAGAAACCUCAGUGGAAGUGUGAUUAUUGCUGUGUACGCCGGUUGAUGAGAGCAGUCCGUCUCCUUGCUGCAAUAAUAAUUUUAACGUCUC
Long non-coding RNA from Oxyura jamaicensis (ruddy duck), 945 nucleotides. RefSeq lists it as uncharacterized. NCBI's taxonomy places the organism in Eukaryota, Metazoa, Chordata, Aves, Anseriformes, Anatidae. The transcript has 5 exons. The record is from RefSeq and is a predicted model, not a curated record.